Molecule: ribosomal RNA, 1034 nt
Filed under: Corethromyces pallidus
Lineage: Eukaryota; Fungi; Ascomycota; Laboulbeniomycetes; Laboulbeniales; Laboulbeniaceae
Description: SSU rRNA
Rfam family: Eukaryotic small subunit ribosomal RNA
Source: RNAcentral
AAGCAAUUAUAUGCGAAACUGCGAAUGGCUCAUUAAAUCAGUUAUCGUUUAUUUGAUGGUACCUUACUACAUGGAUAACUGUGGUAAUUCUAGAGCUAAUACAUGCUAAAAAUCUCGACUCACGAAGAGAUGUAUUUAUUAGAUAUCAAACCAAUACUCCUCGGAGUUUAUGGUGAUUCAUUAUAACUUCACGCAGCGCAUGGCUUUUAGCUGGCGCGAGAUCAUUCAAAUACCUGCCCUAUCAAGUUUCGAUGUGAGGGUAGUGUCCUCACAUGCUUUUGACGGGUAACGGGGAAUUAGGGUUCGACUCCGGAGAGGGAGCCUGAGAAACGGCUACCACAUCCAAGGAAGGCAGCAGGCGCGCAAAGUACCCAAUCCCGACACGGGGAGGUAGUGACAAGAAAUACCGAUACAGGUCUUUUUGGAUCUUGUGAUUGGAAUGAGUACAAUUUAAACCCAUUAACGAGGAACAACUAGAGGGCAAGUCUGGUGCCAGCAGCCGCGGUAAUUCCAGCUCUAGUAGCAUACAUUAAAGUUGUUGCAGUUAAAACGCCCGUAGUUGAAGUUUGGGCUUGGUUGGCCGGUCCGCCUCACCGCGAGUACUGGUGCGAUUGGGUCCUUCUUCCUGGAGAUCUGCACUGUCUUUAUUGAUGGUGUUAGGGAACCAGGGCUUUUACUUUGAAAAAAUUAGAGUGUUCAAAGCAGGCUUUUGCUCGAAUAUCUUAGCAUGGAAUAAUGGAAUAUGACGAGUGGUUGUAUUUCGUUGGUUUUCACGACCACCGUAAUGAUUAAUAGGGAUGGUCGGGGGCAUCGGUAUUCAUUCGUCAGAGGUGAAAUUCUUGGAUUGAAUGAAGACCAACCGCUGCGAAAGCAUUUGCCAUGGAUGUUUUCAUUAAUCAAGGACGAAAGUUAGGUGAGCGAAAACGAUCAGAUACCGUUGUAGUCUUAACUGUAAACAAUGCCGACUAGGGAUCGGGUGGUGUCUUCUUAAUGACUCGCUCGGCACCUUGUGAGAAAUCANAGUUUUGGGUUCU